RNAcentral lists this ribosomal RNA (719 nucleotides) under Staphylococcus aureus. RNAcentral's name for it is "partial 23S ribosomal RNA". It matches the Rfam family "Bacterial large subunit ribosomal RNA", at positions 1218 to 1921 of the family's 2925-position model. The record is from RNAcentral. Lineage: Bacteria; Bacillati; Bacillota; Bacilli; Caryophanales; Staphylococcaceae.
AAGUUGAGCGGUAGAGGAGCGUUCUGUAAGCCUGUGAAGGUGAGUUGAGAAGCUCGCUGGAGGUAUCAGAAGUGCGAAUGCUGACAUGAGUAACGACAAUGCGAGUGAAAAACUCGCACGCCGAAAGACCAAGGGUUCCUGCGCAACGUUAAUCGACGCAGGGUGAGUCGGUCCCUAAGGCGAGGCUGAAGAGCGUAGUCGAUGGGAAACGGGUUAAUAUUCCCGUACUUCUAGUUACUGCGAUGGGGGGACGGAGAAGGCUAGGCCAGCAAGGCGUUGGUUGUCCUUGUUUAAGGUGGUAGGCAGAGAUCUUAGGUAAAUCCGGGAUCUUAAUGCCGAGAGCUGAUGACGAGCUUUCUUUUAGAAAGCGAAGUGGUUGAUGCCAUGCUUCCAGGAAAAGCCUCUAAGCUUCAGGUAACUAGGAACCGUACCCCAAACCGACACAGGUGGUUGGGUAGAGAAUACCAAGGCGCUUGAGAGAACUCGGGUGAAGGAACUAGGCAAAAUGGCACCGUAACUUCGGGAGAAGGUGCGCCGGUGAGGGUGAAGUAUUUACUACGUAAGCCCAUGCCGGUCGAAGAUACCAGGCCGCUGCGACUGUUUAUUAAAAACACAGCACUCUGCAAACACGAAAGUGGACGUAUAGGGUGUGACGCCUGCCCGGUGCCGGAAGGUUAAUUGAUGGGGUUAGCGCAAGCGAAGCUCUUGAUCGAAGCCCC